GCUGGGUACAGUGGGGCACACCUGUAAUCCCAGUGGCUUGGGAGGCUGAGGUAAGAGGAUUGCAAGUACAAAGCCAACCUCAGCAACUUUGCAAGGCCCUAAGCAACUUAGCAAGAUCCUGUCUCAA
This 127-nucleotide small RNA is filed under the name Marmota monax (woodchuck). The record is from RNAcentral. Lineage: Eukaryota; Metazoa; Chordata; Mammalia; Rodentia; Sciuridae.